Molecule: ribosomal RNA, 654 nt
Filed under: Caledoniella sp. 2 RG-2020
Lineage: Eukaryota; Metazoa; Mollusca; Gastropoda; Littorinimorpha; Vanikoridae
Description: partial 16S rRNA
Rfam family: Archaeal large subunit ribosomal RNA (bases 1-230)
Source: RNAcentral
AAUUAUCUUUUAUAAAUACAUAAAUUUUAAUUUGGAAAAAUUACAUUAAGGGCCCUCCCUGCCCAGUGAAUGAAAGCUAAUAUUUUCAUUUUAACGGCUGCGGUAUCCUGACCGUACAAAGGUAGCAUAAUCAUUUGCCUUUUGAUUGGAGGCUAGAAUGAAUGGGAAGACUUAGUUUAACUGUCUCAAUACUAGUUUUGAUAAAUUAACUUAUUAGUGAAGAGGCUAAUAUUUUAGAGUAGGACGAGAAGACCCCUGAAAAGCUUAUUUUAAUGUGUAAAAGUAAAAUUAUUUUAAAUUUAAUUUAUUAUUAAAUAUAUAUUUAAAACAAUUUAUUUAUAUUAUAUCUUAAAAUUUAACUGGGGCGGUUAUUGGUAAAACUAAAUCUACCAAAUUUUUAAUUUUAAUUUAUUGGUAUUAUAUAAAUUUAAUAUUUACUUUGUAAAUUUUAAUCUAAUAAAUAAAUUUUAUAAUAUCAAAAAUUUAAUUUUAGUAAGAUCCAAUUUAGUAAAUACUACUUGCUUGAAAAGUAUAUUUAACUAACUUGAAAAUCGUAAAUUAAAAGUUACUAAGGGGAUAACAGAAAAAUUUAAUAAGUAAGUUCUUAUUACUUAUUAUAGCUUUUUACCUCGAUGUUGGACUAGGGUUGACCUC